UACACUUCAGGUUGUUUUUCCUGAGUACUCUCAGGAAGUGUAGUCGCUGCUGUGCCUUCUUGACUAUUGCUGAGGUGUUGGCAGACCAUGACAGGUCAUCUGUUAAGUGGGCUCCUAGGAGCUUGAAGGUGUGGACCUUCUCCACACAGUCCCCGUUGAUGUGGAGUGGACCUUCUCCACACAGUCCAUGUUGAUGUGGAGUGGGGCCAGAUCUGCACUUUGCCUCCUGUAGUCCACAAUUAUUUAUUUUGUUUUUAUGGUGUUCAGUGACAGAUUGUUGUCUGAGCACCACACUGUCAGUUUCUGUACCUCAUCUCUGUACGCUGAUUCGUCGACUCCUGAGAUGAGUCCAAUCACAAUGGUGUCAUCAGCAAAUUGGAUGAUGGUGCUGGUAGGAUGGGUCGGAGUACAGUCAUGUGUGUACAAGGAGUAUAGUAGUGGGCUCAGCACACAGCCCUGUGGAGAGCAGGUGCUUAGCGUGAUGGUGGAGGAGAGGUGGGGGCUGAGCUUCACAGUUUGUGGGCGGUUUGUAAAGAAGUAUUUUAUCCAGGUGCAGAUGGAGGGGGAGAGGCGUAGUGCAGUUAGUUUGCUGACUAGUAUGUCUGGGAUGAUGGUAUUGAAUGCUGAGCUGUAGUCUAUGAAGAGCAAUUUACAUACUGCUCUAGCAGUACUAUACAGGGCCCUGUCAAACUGGAGAGCAAGGAGCGGCUGCGUCCGUCCGCACCGCCAUUUUGGACCAUAAUACUCAUAGUUAUACUUAUAAUUUACAUGAGAGUUCAUGGUCCUAAAAUUUGCAGACGACACAUCAGUCAUCGGCCUCAUCCGUGAUGAUGAUGAGUCUGCAUAUAGGCGGGAAGUUGAACAGCUGGUCCUGUGGUGCGGUCGCAACAACCAAGAGCUGAACACGCUUAAAACCGUGGAGAUGACAGUGGACUUCAGGAGGAGCCCCCCAGCACUGCCCCCCCUCACCAUAUACAAUACUGUGUUGGCUGUGGAAUCCUUCAGGUUUCUGUGAUCCACAAUCUCCCGGAACCUGAAGUGGGAACCCAACAUCAACACAAUCAUCAAGAAGGCCCAGCAGAGGAUAUUCUUCCUGCGCCAGCUUUGGAAGUACAACCUGCCUCAGGAGCUGCUGAUCAUGUUCUACACCGCAGUCAUAGAGUCUGUUCUGUGCACUUCAAUCACUGUCUGGUUUGGAUCGGCCACCAAACUGGAUAAGAACAGACUCCAACGGACAGUCAGGUCUGCAGAAAAGAUCAUCAGUGCCAACCUUCCCACCAUCCAAGACCUGUACACCUCCAGAGUCAGGAAACAGGCAGGAAACACUGCAGACCCCUCACACAAACUAUUCAAACUCCUUCCCUCUGGUAGACGCUACAGAUCACUGUUCGCCAAAACCUCCAGACACAAAAACAGUUUCUUCCCCCUCGCCGUCUCACUACUGAACAGCUAACCCACUGUAGCAUAUAUAGCAUAUAUAUUUAUCCCUGCACUUCUUGCACUCUCCACUUCUUUUUUGCACUAUUGUUGUGUAACAUUUCACAGCUACUGUAUAUAGCCAUUCCGCCUUGUAUACAUUUUUGUUAAACUUCUUAGACCGUUGCACUGUUUGUUUUGUAUUGUAUUGUGUUGUAUAUUAUAUAUAUGUAUAUUUUGUGUAAGCACAUUGAGAGCCACUUUACCAAGUCAAAUUCCUUGUUUGUGCAAACUUACUUGGCCAAUAAAACCUGAUUCUGAUUCGGUUUGGUUACUGUGUAGUUCCCGUACUUUCCCCAGAUCUAGUUUUAACACAUGGAACCUGGGAUGCUUUGGCUACCCUUGUUGUAGUAGCCACAUAGUUAUAUAUAUAUAUAUAUAUAUAUAUAUAUAUACCCUUUUUAUAUAUGUCUGAUAGUUUUCCUUCUGUUCACCUUCCUGCAGUGUGCGUGUCAGUGGUUGUUCUACUGUGGGUGUGUGUGUGGGUGUGUGUGUGUGUAGAUCUCACCUGGGGAUACUUCAGUGUGUGUGUGUGUGUUAAUUAAUUGCCCACCCCUGACCAAGAUCAACACACACACACACACACACACACAACCAAGAUCAACACAAACUACAGACGGCCAUGAGAUUUAAAACGUACUAAAAUUUAAUCAUCCAUAAAAGCUGGAACAGUUCUUGACGGAACACAAGAAGCAAUAUUAGAGUUGGUUUAAUAGAAUAUAUUUUAGCUUCAAGACAUAGAAAUAGAUCCUUGUACUCCCCCCCCUCCCCCUCCCCUUGUCACCUCUAUAAAAGACCUAUUUUUCUUACACAUUAUUCUGCAAAAAUGGCAUUACAACAGUAUGUUAUGGGAACUAUGAAAAGCCAAGUGACUAGGUAUAAAAUAAUGUCACGUUGGAAUAUCUGCUGAAGAGAAUGUCCAUACACGUUCGGGAGACAAAAGAACAUCUAUUUACAGGGUCGGUAGUGGGGCCUAUUGCACACACACACACACACACACGCUGAUCUGUAUUGGGGCCUAGUGCGCACACACACACACACACACGCUGAUGUACAAAAACAGAAGCAUGGCUUCAAGGAGGCGAAACUUCAACUUGGUUCCACUUGCAACACCUACACAUAAUUACAGAUGUGGUCAUGCUGUUUAUUCAUAAGUAUCAACAAUCAACACAACUACACUCCUCACCUUCCAUGUUUUCAAAUAAACUAUAUCGCAAGAACGAAAAUACUGUCAAGUCUCUCUCCUAUACGUCUUCAAGCUUCCGUUGCCAAACACUGCCCUCUGGUGUGGGGAGCGUGUCAUAGCCUCGAAUUCAUAGUGGUGAUGGGAAAUUAAGUUGUUUUUUUUUUUUUUUUUGCUGUAUGUUUGCUGAUAUUAAAACCAAGAGGAAUCCUGCUGGGAUUCUGAUGCGUUGCGCUCUCUCUCUCUCUCGCUCUCUCUGAGGCCAGUCUUGGUAAUGGAGUCGGUUUCUUCUGGUCCACCGCAAGGGUAGCAGGGCUGGGGAAGGCUGGCACGGUCCAAUGGGGCAAUAGUUCUUCAAUACAGCACUCUGCCAGAGAAGAACAAACUUUAGGGACAAGCGCAAACGCAAACACACACACACACACACACACACACACACACACACACACACACACACACACACACACACACACACACACACACACACACACACACACACACACACGUGGCGUGGCCAUCGACACAAACGCUUAAAGGAAUCAUGGUGUUCAUGUGUUUCUAUUAAUGACAGCCAGCAGUCAAUAUAACAACUAAACAUCGGAACAUGUCUUUUUAUGACAAUUAUCCACAAAGUGUGCAGCUUUUGUCGCUGCAGUGGUGUAUCUUUCUGGGCUUCUGGAAGAACAUUUUUUUAAAUAUUUGCGGCCUAAAAUUCCUGAUUUCGCAGGAGCUUUUCCAAAAAUUACAAAGAGGACAAUUCACAACUUUUUAUCGCAACUUUCACUUGUUUCGUCAAUUUAAUUGCAACAAAAACCUAAAAAUAAAAACUUUCAUUGCAAAUGAAAGUUUUUAUUUUUAGGUUUUUGUUGCAAUUAAAUUGACGAAACAAGUGAAAGUUGCGAUAAAAAGUUGUGAAUUGUCCUCUUUGUAAUUAUAAUUGAGUUAUGUGUUGAAAAAUAAUUGAUUAAUAAACAAACAUUAAUUCAUCAAGAACAAAACGAUUGAGAAAUGGUCCUCUUAAUAACCUCACCAAUAUGCCAAA
Molecule: long non-coding RNA, 3701 nt
Organism: Clupea harengus (Atlantic herring)
Lineage: Eukaryota; Metazoa; Chordata; Actinopteri; Clupeiformes; Clupeidae
Source: Ensembl